This 1050-nucleotide ribosomal RNA is filed under the name Triticum aestivum (bread wheat). Its description in RNAcentral is "partial small subunit ribosomal RNA". Lineage: Eukaryota; Viridiplantae; Streptophyta; Magnoliopsida; Poales; Poaceae. The record is from RNAcentral.
AUGGCUUCUAAUGAAGGAGCAGAAGGCUCAGGUAUGCCUGGUGCGGGUAAUGGAAACUUAGUUGAUCCUUCGACGCAACAUGCUACACCAAUAUUUCAGGCUACCCUGACAUCUGAGGUUGCUACUCCAACAUCUCAAGUUACAUCCAGCAGAGCUGGUGGUAAGAGAAAGCGAACAUCGGCAGUAUGGAAUGAGAUGGAAGAGAAAAUAGAAAAUGGACAAUUGAAAGACGAGUGCAAUUAUUGUCACAAAAAAUUUACUGCAGGUCCAAGAGCUGGCACAAAUCACUUGCCUUUGCAUUUGGAAUCUUGUCCUGCUAGGCAUGCACCCAUAGGCCCAAAGCAACAAAAAUUAAGGCUGACAAAAGGUGAAGGUGGCAAAGUGAUUUUGGAAAGUGUCAUUUUUUACCAAGAGAAGGCUAGGAGAGAUCUUGGGUUGAUGAUAUGUGAACAUGAGUAUCCUUUAUCUAUCAUGGAACAUAGUGGUUUUCGUAGAUUUUGUUCUUCUCUACAGCCGUUGUUUAAGAUGGUGUGCAGAAAUACUAUUAGGAAUGAUAUUGUGGCUAUGCAUUCUGCCCAAAGGGAGAAGAUGGUGAAUUUUUUUGCAACAUUUAAACACCGAGUGGCUGUCACUACGGAUUUGUGGACAGCAGGCUAUCAAAAGAGAGGUUACAUGGCUGUUACCGCUCACUAUAUUGAUGAUACUUGGAAUCUAAAGAGCUUUCUUAUGAGGUUUGCUUAUGUGCCAUGUCCACAUUCAGCUGAGGUUAUAUGUGAAGCCUUGUAUGAGUGUCUUGUUGAGUGGCACCUUGAGCAGAAGAUCUCCAUUGUCACUUUGGACAACUACACAUCAAAUGACAAGGCUAUGGUUAUAUUGCCAGAUAAGUUGGAUACAAGCUCUCUCAUGUUGGAUGGUCAAUUAAUGCAUAUGCGUUGUGCAGCUCACAUAUUAAACUUAAUUGUGAAAGAUGGAAUGAGUGUCUUAGAGCAAGGGAUAGAGAGGUUGCGUGAUCGUGUUGCAUUUUGGUCAGCCACACCUAAAAGGCACUAG